RNAcentral lists this long non-coding RNA (739 nucleotides) under Nicotiana benthamiana. RNAcentral describes it as "long non-coding RNA (NBEN_LNC029310)". Lineage: Eukaryota; Viridiplantae; Streptophyta; Magnoliopsida; Solanales; Solanaceae. The record is from RNAcentral.
UAAAAUGAUGCGAGAACCCGCGGUGAAGAAAUAAAGAGAUCCUUCUAUAUCGAAAUCUCAGUUGAAAAAAUAAUAGGAAAAUUCCUGGAUCACCCGUGGAGAAGAACCAAAACAGAAUGGUUCCGCCUACUCAAAACUAAGAGGGGAUGCCGCCUACUACUAAAAUCCCGGUUUUUGCAACAGUUGCGUUCUUCUAUGCAAGAAGAAGACUUAGAAAGAACAAAGAAGUUUGGAUCCGAAAAAGUAUGCUUAGGCAGUUCUUUCGCUGAGCACAACAGAAUGAAGAGGAAUUUGUAUCAUUUCAAAUCCCUAUUCUUAUCGAAGAGAAGGAACGAGAAAAACCGAAAUAUUCCUACUCGAACAAGAAGUCCUAUAGUUUACAACUCUUCUUUAUAUAGUAAUUCGACCUAUUGCUCCGCAUCCCCCCAUCAGUUUACUAAAAAGAUCAAAAUAAAAAGGAUCGAACUACCUACUCAUUAUUCGGAGGUGAAUCAUAGAACACCAAAAGCUGUGGUAUCUUAUGGACCUAACAUAGGUCACAUACCUCACGACAUAAGAUUGAAAGAUCCAAACCUUCUUCUUCGGAGCGGAAAGGGACGUGGCCAAAACAUAUAAAGAUCGGCGUAGUCGCUCAUAGGGACAUAUCUAUCCGGAUAGAGGAUAGUCUAGGCCGAUUCAUAGAUAGAUCUCUCUCCAUAUAGAUAGGUAUCUCCGUGGAUAGAGAUAAAGAUAGGGAUCC